UUUCGCAAUGCCCGAAAGGGUGACGAAGCGACGCCGCGUGGGUGAGGAAGGCCCUCGGGUUGUAAAGCCCUGUCAGGAGUUAAGAAAUGUAGACUCGCUAAUAUCGGGUCUAUUUGACAAAGGCUCCAAAGGAAGCCACGGCUAACUCUGUGCCAGCAGCCGCGGUAAUACAGAGGUGGCAAGCGUUGUUCGGAAUUAUUGGGCGUAAAGAGCACGUAGGUGGAUUUGUAAGUCAGAUGUGAAAGCCUUCUGUUCAACGGGAGAAUUGCAUCUGAAACUACAGACCUUGAGUAUAGGAGGGGAGAAUGGAACUUCUGGUGGAGCGGUGAAAUGCGUAGAUAUCAGAAGGAACGCCGGCGGCGAAAGCGAUUCUCUGGCCUAUUACUGACACUCAGUGUGCGAAAGCUAGGGGAGCAAACGGGAUUAGAUACCCCGGUAGUCCUAGCCGUAAACGAUGGGCACUAAGUAGAGGGGUUUUA
RNAcentral lists this ribosomal RNA (479 nucleotides) under uncultured bacterium. RNAcentral describes it as "bacterial SSU rRNA". It matches the Rfam family "Bacterial small subunit ribosomal RNA", at positions 364 to 833 of the family's 1533-position model. The record is from RNAcentral.